AGCAGCCGCGGUAAUUCCAGCUCCAAUAGCGUAUAUUAAAGUUGUUGCAGUUAAAAAGCUCGUAGUUGAAUUUCGGGGUUCUACCGUUGGUCGGGCAAUAGUCUGUACUGGCGUGUGGAAUUUCUACCUUCUGGGGAACCAUCAUGUUAUUAAUUUAGCGUGGUGGGAAACCAGGACCUUUACCUUGAAAAAUUAGAGUGUUCAAAGCAGGCUUACGUCUGAAUACAUUAGCAUGGAAUAAUAAAAUAGGACGGUGGUCCUGUUUUGUUGGUUUCUGAAUCACCGUAAUGAUUAAUAGGGAUAGUUGGGGGCAUUAGUAUUCAAUUGUCAGAGGUGAAAUUCUUGGAUUUAUUGAAGGCUAACUUCUGCGAAAGCAUUUGCCAAGGAUGUUUUCAUUAAUCAAGAACGAAAGUUAGGGGAUCGAAGACGAUCAGAUA
RNAcentral lists this ribosomal RNA (437 nucleotides) under uncultured Gigaspora. Its description in RNAcentral is "SSU rRNA". It matches the Rfam family "Eukaryotic small subunit ribosomal RNA", at positions 569 to 1014 of the family's 1831-position model. Lineage: Eukaryota; Fungi; Glomeromycota; Glomeromycetes; Diversisporales; Gigasporaceae. The record is from RNAcentral.